This 676-nucleotide long non-coding RNA is filed under the name Elaeis guineensis (African oil palm). Its description in RNAcentral is "long non-coding RNA (EGUI_LNC034797)". Lineage: Eukaryota; Viridiplantae; Streptophyta; Magnoliopsida; Arecales; Arecaceae. The record is from RNAcentral.
CUUGUGUAUUUGUUGAAUUGGGUGACAUCAAGUACUAGGAAGUUGACAUGGUGACUUGGGAUCCUUCAUCUCAAAGUGUUGUAGGUGCUCUUUAACAAGAUUUUAAAUUCUGUGGGAUGAGGUUGUCCCGAUUUUUUCAUGGAACGGGAUGUGCCGCCAUCCCGCCCCAUCCCGAUACUUGGGAUAGCGGAUGUCUCAAGGCGUCUCGAUUGGGAUGCUAGCGGGAUGGCCCUGUCAUGACAUAUGGGAUAGUGUUAUAUCUUAAUGUCCUGUGGGACGUCCUGCUGGGAUCUAAAUUCUUGCUUUUUAACUGGCUAAAUGUUAAAAGCAUUGCACUAACUCUAGUCAUGUUAUCACUAUGGGUUUGAAUGGUAUAAUUGAUUGAGGUAUAGAGGAAUAUGACAUGAUCAUUCUUGUCAAAAAUGGGGCUGGCUGCUAGGAUUGUAUGACUAGAUUUCUUUAUGCUUGGCACUUGCUUGACACAAUUGAAUGCCUAAAGAAGGUAGUAGACAUGUCGAGGAGGAUGGUAAAGGCUUGGGGACUAUUGUUUAUAGACCCUAUUAUUUGUUAUGAAGAUCACCAUGCUGAGACAUUCUUUGGUACUGAAAGAGUAUUGGGCACAAAAUUGGUUACAACUGUUUAAGACAAGGAAUGAAAAAUGGACUUACUAACAAAA